AUUGAACGCUGGCGGCAGGCUUAACACAUGCAAGUCGAGCGGAGACUUCGGUCUUAGCGGCGAACGGGUGAGUAAUACCUAGGAAUCUGCCUAUUAGUGGGGGAUAACGAAUCGAAAGGUUCGCUAAUACCGCAUACGUCCUACGGGAGAAAGGGGGGAGUCUUCGGACCUCUCGCUAAUAGAUGAGCCUAGGCCGGAUUAGCUAGUUGGUAGGGUAAAGGACCUACCAAGGCGACGAUCUGUAGCUGGUCUGAGAGGAUGGCCAGCCACACUGGAACUGAGACACGGUCCAGACUCCUACGGGAGGGCAGCAGUGGGGAAGUAUUGGACAAUGGGGGCGAACCCUGAUCCAGCCAUGCCGCGUGUGUGAAGAAGGCCUCGGUU
This 384-nucleotide ribosomal RNA is filed under the name uncultured bacterium. Its description in RNAcentral is "bacterial SSU rRNA". It matches the Rfam family "Bacterial small subunit ribosomal RNA", at positions 30 to 424 of the family's 1533-position model. The record is from RNAcentral.